This 331-nucleotide ribosomal RNA is filed under the name uncultured eukaryote. Its description in RNAcentral is "partial 18S ribosomal RNA". It matches the Rfam family "Eukaryotic small subunit ribosomal RNA", at positions 1470 to 1796 of the family's 1831-position model. The record is from RNAcentral.
CCCUUAGAUGUUCUGGGCCGCACGCGCGCUACACUGACGAAGUCAGCGAGCAUGUCCUACGCCGACAGGUGCGGGGAAUCUUGUCAAACUUCGUCGUGAUGGGGAUUGAUUAUUGAAAUUCUUGAUCAUCAACGAGGAAUACCUAGUAAGCGCAAGUCAGCAGCUUGCGUUGAUUACGUCCCUGCCCUUUGUACACACCGCCCGUCGCUACUACCGAUUGAAUGGUUUAGUGAGAUCUUCGGAUUGGCGCCACUGCGGCUCAGCAAUGGGCUCGGUGGAUGCCGAAAAGUUGAUCAAACUUGAUCAUUUAGAGGAAGUAAAAGUCGUAACA